This 199-nucleotide long non-coding RNA is filed under the name Solanum tuberosum (potato). RNAcentral describes it as "long non-coding RNA (STUB_LNC005497)". Lineage: Eukaryota; Viridiplantae; Streptophyta; Magnoliopsida; Solanales; Solanaceae. The record is from RNAcentral.
UCUAUCUUCAAGUGGAGCAACUCUCGUGUGCUUGAGGUCAUAUGUGUGAUAUUUUGUAUUAUUUAUCAUCUACAUAGAGUAACACGUUUAUCUUUUGAGUUAUUUUUCUUUGUCAGGCACUCAGAACUGGUUUGUGUUGAUAAGCUGGCUGAACACCCUUAUUUUACAAGAUCUAAGGCUCCCAAAGAUUCCUUCCCCG